Molecule: long non-coding RNA, 401 nt
Filed under: Rattus norvegicus (Norway rat)
Lineage: Eukaryota; Metazoa; Chordata; Mammalia; Rodentia; Muridae
Description: long non-coding RNA NONRATT001370
Source: RNAcentral
CAGACACAACCCACCGCCACUAUGUCUGACGAGGAAACUGAACAAGUUGAGGAACAGUACGAAGAGGAAGGUAACUCAGGAAGUCAGAGGCCUCUCAAAGCCCAUCCCUGGGAAGGCCUUGGGGCAUCCUCCCUGAGCUGACAAUUAACAGUUUACUCCCUUCCUCAAGAUUGCACUAUUAACCAUCAUCACUCAUCAUUAAUUAACUGUUAUUGAUUAAUAAUGCCAUUAUUUAAUUAAUGGUCAAUGGCUUGAUCAUUAAUUAAACCAUUAAUCCGCUAUCUCUUCGGUGGAUUAAUAGACACUCAUUAACCACUCACACAUGCCCUGUGGUCACUGUGUCCAUGGUGUGUGAAGCGGGGUGUGUUUCUGGCCAUUAAAACUCAUUCAUUAAUAACAAA